ACGCUCGACACCUACUGGAGGCAGCAGUGGGGAAUAUUGCACAAUGGGGGAAACCCUGAUGCAGCGACGCCGCGUGAGUGAAGAAGUAUUUCGGUAUGUAAAGCUCUAUCAGCAGGGAAGAAGAUGACGGUACCUGAGUAAGAAGCCCCGGCUAACUACGUGUCAGCAGCCGCGGUAAUCUGAGCGGGCUGGCAAGGC
RNAcentral lists this ribosomal RNA (198 nucleotides) under uncultured bacterium. Its description in RNAcentral is "partial 16S ribosomal RNA". It matches the Rfam family "Bacterial small subunit ribosomal RNA", at positions 328 to 539 of the family's 1533-position model. The record is from RNAcentral.